RNAcentral lists this unclassified non-coding RNA (238 nucleotides) under Hevea brasiliensis (rubber tree). Lineage: Eukaryota; Viridiplantae; Streptophyta; Magnoliopsida; Malpighiales; Euphorbiaceae. The record is from RNAcentral.
AUAACUCCCAUUGAAGCUCCCAUGGCCGCCCCAUUUUCCACCUUUAUCUACCCAUGAUCCAACCAUGGAAACCUCAAGCUUCCUUCACUAAAAUUGCUCUACAUCACUUGGGCAGUAGAUAGGCAGAAAGAAGACCAAGUUUUGGAGAGAUUUUGAAGAGUUUCCAAAGUGUUAGCAAAGACUCAGGGAGAGGGAAGAAAACACUGAGUCAAGACCAAGAGACAGUUAUCAGAGGUUU